GCUGAGAUGGCGGAAUGGCUACGCGGUGGACUGCAAAUCCAUUACAUCCCGGUUCGAUUCCGGGUCUCAGCU
Molecule: transfer RNA, 72 nt
Filed under: Methanosarcina horonobensis HB-1 = JCM 15518
Lineage: Archaea; Methanobacteriati; Methanobacteriota; Methanomicrobia; Methanosarcinales; Methanosarcinaceae
Description: tRNA-Cys (GCA) (tRNA-Cys-GCA-3-1)
Rfam family: tRNA
About the family: Transfer RNA (tRNA) molecules are approximately 80 nucleotides in length.
Source: RNAcentral